GCAACCCUUAUCCUUUGUUGCCAGCGGUCCGGCCGGGAACUCAAAGGAGACUGCCAGUGAUAAACUGGAGGAAGGUGGGGAUGACGUCAAGUCAUCAUGGCCCUUACGACCAGGGCUACACACGUGCUACAAUGGCAUAUACAAAGAGAAGCGACCUCGCGAGAGCAAGCGGACCUCAUAAAGUAUGUCGUAGUCCGGAUUGGAGUCUGCAACUCGACUCCAUGAAGUCGGAAUCGCUAGUAAUCGUAGAUCAGAAUGCUACGGUGAAUACGUUCCCGGGCCUUGUACACACCGCCCGUCACACCAUGGGAGUGGGUUGCAAAAGAAGUAGGUAGCUUAACCUUCGGGAGGGCGCUUACCACUUUUGUGAUCAUGACUGGGGUGAAGUCGUAACAAGGUAACCGUAGGGG
This 410-nucleotide ribosomal RNA is filed under the name Klebsiella pneumoniae. RNAcentral describes it as "bacterial SSU rRNA". It matches the Rfam family "Bacterial small subunit ribosomal RNA", at positions 1098 to 1508 of the family's 1533-position model. Lineage: Bacteria; Pseudomonadati; Pseudomonadota; Gammaproteobacteria; Enterobacterales; Enterobacteriaceae. The record is from RNAcentral.